CCAAAUCUGUAGUACAAUAACGAAAUCUACUGCAGUAACUUUUUCUGACCCAGGAACUGUCAAGAAAUUCAUAGAGUUAAACAAAUUCUUCUUGUGACUUCGGGUGCUGAGCAAGUUAAACUACACUUUCUUCAUUUCCUGCCACCCAGAUUCCCAAAGGGCUGCACCUGUGGAGUUGCCUACACAGAUUGUCUUUGAACAGAAUUGGCUUGGAGAACAGCGGCACUAUUCCAAAGCCUCUGCCUCCGGAUUCCUGAUUGUUUGACUGCAGUCUGCAUAUUCUCUGUACUUGACUACUUGAUGCUGAUCCUCUGGUGAGGUCUACUGCUGACCCAGACAAUGCAAGCUCUGGUCUUUACCCUUUGCCCAACAGCCAUUUCCCUCCUCCUCUGACAUCAGCUUUCAUCUUCCCUGCAGCCAGAGUUUACCAGGCAUGAAAAAGUGACUCACUUCUCAGAUAUGACAGGCAGAAAAGCCGCCACUUACACUGAGUGCACUUUGGGUCCUUAGAGGAAAGUAAGGGGAUUUCAAGUGAGGGGAAGCCCUUCAUGCAGCUUCGCAGCUAACUAACUUUGAUGACUGUUUAUCUUUCAUCUUCACAGUUGGUUUUUGAAACAAAUAGAUUUAAGAAAAAUAGUAAACUAGAUCCUAAAGGUUAAAAUAUCUUUCCUGUUGUAGUCUCUGCUUUCUUUUUCAUUGUCUAUUAAGUUUAAGAUAAAUUUACUGUGAAAAUAAAGUGGAUCUCUGACAAUA
This is a long non-coding RNA of Sapajus apella (tufted capuchin), 753 nucleotides long. RefSeq lists it as uncharacterized. NCBI's taxonomy places the organism in Eukaryota, Metazoa, Chordata, Mammalia, Primates, Cebidae. The transcript has 2 exons. The record is from RefSeq and is a predicted model, not a curated record.